Paramisgurnus dabryanus is the source of this 1747-nucleotide non-coding RNA. Lineage: Eukaryota; Metazoa; Chordata; Actinopteri; Cypriniformes; Cobitidae. The record is from RefSeq and is a predicted model, not a curated record.
UCAUUUUUAAUACACAUCCCGUUUAUUUUGUAGUUAAUUGUUAGAUAAGUAAGUAAUUUCGUCAAGUUUUCGUUACAGAGUAAGAUUUCGUUAUCAUCGUUACCAUAUACAGUAUUUAUAUUGGUUCAAGAGCGCAGUUUGAUAACUCAUUCAAGGGGGUUCUGUUCCUGCAGUCUUCCAGCAAUACUGGCGCGUAUGACGAUGCGGACACGAACUGCACACUACAGUAUACCGCCGCCUACUGUACUGUAGUAAAAUAACGUGUAGGAUUGAAUACUGUGGCAAACGCAGUAAAAAAAGCCAUUUAAUUCAUUGUAAAAACAAUGGGCAUGCCAGUUUAAGUAACUUGUGGGCUAAAUCACCAAAAUAAGUUUGUAGAUGUGGUUCAAUUAUUUUUUAAAUGUGUAGCAUAAUGGACCAGCCUGAAUGUAUGUAGCCUAUAAAUAUAUUGUUUAGACUUUAUUUUUAAACCUUUAUUUGGUGGUAUAUGGUUAAACCUUUUUAAUGGUAGCAAUAGGCUUUAUACCCAGCUGCACUACUUCCUGAACUUCAGCCAGCUCCUUGUUUCCUGUCUGCCAUUAUUGGUCAAACUGAUUAAUCCAGGUGUGCCUGACCUCAGUAGUCACAACAACAAUAAUCAGACAGACCUGGAUUUAUCAGUUUGUCCAAUAAUGGCAGACAGGAAACAAUGGGCUGGCUGAAGUUCAGGAAGUAGUGCAGCUGGGCAUAAAGCCUAUUAAAUAAAAAUCUUAAAUUGAAUCAAAUCUCUUUUAAUAAUACAUAAAAGCUCUGGGAGGGUUGGGGGUACAUCUGGGUAACAUUUUAACAUUUAAUAUAUUUUGAUGUGUGUGUAUAUAUAUUAACUUUCUUUAUUUUGUUUUCUCAGCCUUUAAACAUCUAAACAUGUCCUCCAAAAAGGAAAAAGGGAAAAACACUGGAAAACAAUUUCAGCCUAAGGUUUGAGAUGGCUAACUGUGUACAUUGCCUUUGUGUACUGCAAGCUGAACUUACAGAUUUAUAUGGACUUUACUUACAGGUUUCCUGUGCUGUUUUGCUCCAUUUUACAGAACAAAAUAAGGCUGAGGUAGCACCAUCCUUGUGGUUAGAGUGAAAGAAUGUGGGUAUUGAGACCAAAAUAAAUAAUGUGCCAUUCUGGACAAACAGCUGUGGACAAUACAAGCAGUCAGAGUAGCCCAUUUUCUCACACAGAUGAGGAGCAACCAGUAAGAAAAAGCAAAAAGAUGUUUUGAUGUUGCCUGAGGCACCUUAUUCACAUCAGUCAAUUUCUUCCAAUAAUGAAUCAAGAAAUCCUGGAGUGGAGAAUCAUUCUGAAAGUAGACCAAAUACAGGACAACACCACAGCAGUGGUUGGAAAAAUGCAGCAGACAAUGAGCAAACCAAGCUGACUUUCAAAAGAUGAUUCGUUAUCUGUUUCUUCAAAGGGGAGGCAGUUUGGGAGAUGGGAAAUAGGAGGAUGCUUCAGCUACACAGGGCGAAUUUCAGCAGCUCAGUUUCACACUUGCAACUAACAAUGAAUUAUAGUUAGAAGACAACGGAAAUAUUUGACAUGGGAGUCCAGCAGACAGCCAGAGACACGCACACACACGGAGCUGAAGCGCGUUUGACUGACGCGUACGGGAGAUCAGGCACGCGCACGGGAGCUCGCUCGCGCACGCACACACAAACACGGAGCACAGGAAAAUUACACCUGUUCAAUUAAAAUAAAAGAACUUUGUGGUAAACAAUG